ACGGCCCACCAAACCGACGAUCAGUAGCCGGCCUGAGAGGGCGACCGGCCACAUUGGGACUGAGACACGGCCCAAACUCCUACGGGAGGCAGCAGUGGGGAAUAUUGCACAAUGGGGGAAACCCUGAUGCAGCGACGCCGCGUGAGCGAAGAAGUAUUUCGGUAUGUAAAGCUCUAUCAGCAGGGAAGAUAAUGACGGUACCUGACUAAGAAGCCCCGGCUAACUACGUGCCAGCAGCCGCGGUAAUACGUAGGGGGCAAGCGUUAUCCGGAUUUACUGGGUGUAAAGGGAGCGUAGACGGCAAGGCAAGUCUGAUGUGAAAACCCAGGGCUUAACCCUGGGACUGCAUUGGAAACUGUCUGGCUCGAGUGCCGGAGAGGUAAGCGGAAUUCCUAGUGUAGCGGUGAAAUGCGUAGAUAUUAGGAAGAACACCAGUGGCGAAGGCGGCUUACUGGACGGUAACUGACGUUGAGGCUCGAAAGCGUGGGGAGCAAACAGGAUUAGAUACCCUGGUAGUCCACGCCGUAA
This 528-nucleotide ribosomal RNA is filed under the name uncultured bacterium. Its description in RNAcentral is "bacterial SSU rRNA". It matches the Rfam family "Bacterial small subunit ribosomal RNA", at positions 260 to 805 of the family's 1533-position model. The record is from RNAcentral.